UACGUAGGGUGCAAGCGUUAUCCGGAUUCACUGGGUUUAAAGGGUGCGUAGGUGGGCAGGUAAGUCAGUGGUGAAAUCUCCGGGCUUAACUCGGAAACUGCCAUUGAUACUAUCUGUCUUGAAUACCGUGGAGGUUAGCGGAAUAUGUCAUGUAGCGGUGAAAUGCUUAGAUAUGACAUAGAACACCAAUUGCGAAGGCAGCUGGCUACACGAAUAUUGACACUGAUGCACGAAAGCGUGGGGAUCAAACAGG
Molecule: ribosomal RNA, 253 nt
Filed under: uncultured bacterium
Lineage: Bacteria
Description: partial 16S ribosomal RNA
Rfam family: Bacterial small subunit ribosomal RNA
Source: RNAcentral